CUUUGCAUCUCAAAGUGCCCUCGGUUCAAGGUUCACAUCUUAAACGCUUGGUUUGCAGUGGAAUAAUCUUCAGAAGUGGGGCUUUGCGAAAAUGAUGGGAUCCGGAUCAUAGGGCUCUGACUUCAUCAGCGAAUCAAUCUGCUGAAACAAAAUUGGCUCGUCCUCUAUGGUUUGAGAGCCUUAUGGUGACCAUACCAACUAGACAGAGACGGAGCAACAUGGUCCUGUUUUACCGAGAGGAGAAAUCUCUACUGGAAUACUCAGACCUCUUUUCCCUGUCAGCUUAAUGCUCAGUCUGCCCUCCGGACACCUCAGAACUGAGGCAUGUGUGGACUUCCAAAGACUGUGGUAGCACAAGACCCAUACAAGUUCACGUCAGAUGGGGUCCCAGCACUGAGAGGAGGAAGUGAACAAAGUAGCCAUCUGCAAUUGAUACCUCCUUGCAAAAGAAAAAUUAGUUUUCUCCAAUGGAAUUUUAUUGGUUAUAUCAACCACACUUCAGGGUAGGCCCCAGGUCUAGAAUUAGUCAACACAAAACAAGCUAAAUGGUAUUUUUGUAGACUUUUGCCCUGACUUCAGUGACCUUCUUCCAGAUACUAGCCCCCGCUUCUAUGUUCCCACAAAUAGUGUCAGAGACCAAACAUUCAAAAUGUGAGACUGUAGGGAAAGUUCAUAUUCAAAUCACACCCCCUACACACACACAUACACACACACACACACAUACACACACUCAAGCACACAUGCAUGCAAGCAUACUUAUACACACACACACACUUAAGCACACAUGCAUGCAAGCAUACUUAUACACACACACAAACACAACACUUUGAAAUCUAGAUAUUGUUAGCAAUCAUUGAAAUAGGCAGAACAGAAAAUACUUAUAAGGAGACAUAUAUUACCUACAGGCCAAUGAGAGAAUGAUGGAUUAGUCAAUACUACAUCGGGAUAACUGACUAGUCACCUAAGAGAAAAAACUCAUAAAGGGCUCUGCCUCACAACACAUUCAAGAUAAGUUACAGAAGGAUUGAAUACCCAGCUAAAAUGAAAACAUCACGAGAGAAUUUAAGAAAACAUCUGUUCAAGUUUGAGGUAGAGGGGAGGGGUGCUUUCCAGUAUCUAAGUCAAGCAAUGCUUUAUUUUUUCAUUUAAAAGUUGAGAGAUUUGAAUAUAUAAAGAUACGCAGGUGCUGAAUAAACAAGUGUUACAGUGAGGUAAAAAUACUCACAUGAAACAUAGUCUGAUGAAUUUGGAAUGUGAAAAAUUUAAAGACAAAGGCCUACAAAAAUAAAACAAGCCAAAUCAUUCAUUAGUCAAACAUAUUUUGCAUAGAUGUUGCCUCUGAAUGUAGAACCAACUCAUUCCUAUAUACAAUUGAACUCUGAUUUUAUAAAACUAUUACACAUACACACACACUGAGAGAGAGAGAGAAAGAGAGAGAGAGAGAGAGAGAGAGAGAGAGAGAGAGGCAGGCAGGCAGAUACACACACACAGAUACGUAUAUACACAUAAUCUAUAGCACAUGGCUCAAAUAUAAAUGUUUCUUUCCCUUUAACUGAGUAUGCACGGUGCCCUUAUGAAGCCUCACAGACUGUGACAAAAGUAAUUCAAGCUCCCAGAAGUUGAUAUAGAAAGGUUUCCUACAAAAAAAACCCAAAAAACCAAACCAAACCAAAAAAAACUAUCCUGAUUUUUUUUUUUUUUGUCAUAAACAACUUGGUAGGAAUGAAACUAGAAUACCAUUUU
Molecule: long non-coding RNA, 1743 nt
Organism: Apodemus sylvaticus (European woodmouse)
Lineage: Eukaryota; Metazoa; Chordata; Mammalia; Rodentia; Muridae
Exons: 3
Source: RefSeq, a predicted model, not a curated record